Oncorhynchus tshawytscha (Chinook salmon) is the source of this 731-nucleotide long non-coding RNA. Lineage: Eukaryota; Metazoa; Chordata; Actinopteri; Salmoniformes; Salmonidae. The record is from Ensembl.
AGUGAUGAAGUACCUCGAGUUACGUUGGUUGAGCACUCUCCAUUUCUUUCCCUUAGUCACAAACAACACCUACAUACGAGGCUUUGUGCUGUCGUGUCAACUCGUAUGGCCGUUGUCAUGACGUUGCUAAUACGGCACUAACAGAUUUGGGACCAGGGCUAACUGCUCUAUUCCUGUUGUGUAGCCUGCUAUCACACCAAGCAGCUGUGGCCCGGCAGGGGGGCUAGUUAGCCGCUUAGCCUAGCUAGCCAGCCGGGGAAAGAGAGGAUAUCUUCAGGCCUUCAGCAGACUCAUGAGAACAGACUAGUUGGAGUCGGCUUCCUUCCUGUUUUAGCCACGGUGACACACAAUGGCUGAAUAGUUUCUCAUUGCAGGGCUACUAAACAGUAGAGUUCUGUGCUACUGUUGUCCUGAGAAACAGGACAGCAGAGCUCUCCUGUGGUUCAUCUAAUGGUUUCUGUUAUUCACGGUGGCCUGUUACUGCUAUCCCUACUGAACGUGAUGACACAUUUUUCCUAUGUAGGCCUAUGGAGUUUUUCUUUUUCCUAUGUAGGCCUAUGGAGUUUUUCUUUUUCCUAUGUAGGCCUAUGGAGUUUUCAUUUUUCCUAUGUAGGCCUAUGGAGUUUUCCUUUUCAGUCGGCUUAACCUCCUCCAUUUUUACAUCCUGUUACUGUUUAGUUACCGUGAUGGCUGUCAUGUUCCACGAGAGUCAAAAACAAAGGAGGAAAUAG